RNAcentral lists this transfer RNA (76 nucleotides) under Sandaracinaceae bacterium. RNAcentral's name for it is "tRNA-Gly". It matches the Rfam family "tRNA". Rfam says of the family: Transfer RNA (tRNA) molecules are approximately 80 nucleotides in length. Their secondary structure includes four short double-helical elements and three loops (D, anti-codon, and T loops). The record is from RNAcentral. Lineage: Bacteria; Pseudomonadati; Myxococcota; Polyangiales; Sandaracinaceae.
GCGGGAGUAGCUCAGUUGGUAGAGCGUCAGCCUUCCAAGCUGAACGUCGCCGGUUCGAGCCCGGUCUCCCGCUCCA